Molecule: ribosomal RNA, 429 nt
Filed under: Actinomycetes bacterium
Lineage: Bacteria; Bacillati; Actinomycetota; Actinomycetes
Description: Actinobacteria bacterium partial 16S ribosomal RNA
Rfam family: Bacterial small subunit ribosomal RNA
Source: RNAcentral
UAGGGAAUCUUCCGCAAUGGGCGAAAGCCUGACGGAGCAACGCCGCGUGAGUGAUGAAGGUCUUCGGAUCGUAAAACUCUGUUAUUAGGGAAGAACAAAUGUGUAAGUAACUAUGCACGUCUUGACGGUACCUAAUCAGAAAGUCACGGCUAACUACGUGCCAGCAGCCGCGGUAAUACGUAGGUGGCAAGCGUUAUCCGGAAUUAUUGGGCGUAAAGCGCGCGUAGGCGGUUUUUUAAGUCUGAUGUGAAAGCCCACGGCUCAACCGUGGAGGGUCAUUGGGAACUGGAAAACUUGAGUGCAGAAGAGGAAAGUGGAAUUCCAUGUGUAGCGGUGAAAUGCGCAGAGAUAUGGAGGAACACCAGUGGCGAAGGCGACUUUCUGAUCUGUAACUGACGCUGAUGUGCGAAAGCGUGGGGAUCAAACAGG